Molecule: transfer RNA, 73 nt
Filed under: Bos taurus (domestic cattle)
Lineage: Eukaryota; Metazoa; Chordata; Mammalia; Artiodactyla; Bovidae
Rfam family: tRNA
About the family: Transfer RNA (tRNA) molecules are approximately 80 nucleotides in length. Their secondary structure includes four short double-helical elements and three loops (D, anti-codon, and T loops).
Source: Rfam by way of RNAcentral
UCCCUGGUGGUUCAGUGGUUAAGACUCCACGCUUCCAAUGUAGGGGGCACAGGUUCGAUCCCCGGUCAGGGAA